Molecule: ribosomal RNA, 433 nt
Filed under: uncultured bacterium
Lineage: Bacteria
Description: partial 16S ribosomal RNA
Rfam family: Bacterial small subunit ribosomal RNA
Source: RNAcentral
AACGAACGCUGGCGGCAGGCCUAACACAUGCAAGUCGAGCGGACCCUUCGGGGUUAGCGGCGGACGGGUGAGUAACGCGUGGGAAUAUGCCCUUCUCUACGGAAUAGUCCUGGGAAACUGGGGGUAAUACCGUAUACGCCCUUUGGGGGAAAGAUUUAUCGGGGAAGGAUUAGCCCGCGUUGGAUUAGGUAGUUGGUGGGGUAAUGGCCUACCAAGCCGACGAUCCAUAGCUGGUUUGAGAGGAUGAUCAGCCACACUGGGACUGAGACACGGCCCAGACUCCUACGGGAGGCAGCAGUGGGGAAUCUUAGACAAUGGGGGCAACCCUGAUCUAGCCAUGCCGCGUGAGUGAUGAAGGCCUUAGGGUUGUAAAGCUCUUUCAGCUUGGAAGAUAAUGACGGUACCAGCAGAAGAAGCCCCGGCUAACUCCGUG